RNAcentral lists this ribosomal RNA (491 nucleotides) under uncultured bacterium. Its description in RNAcentral is "bacterial SSU rRNA". It matches the Rfam family "Bacterial small subunit ribosomal RNA", at positions 28 to 518 of the family's 1533-position model. The record is from RNAcentral.
GAUUAACGCUGGCGGCAUGCCUAAUACAUGCAAGUCGAACGAGGUCACUUGUGACCUAGUGGCGAACGGGUGAGUAACACGUAGGGAACCUGCCUCAAAGUCGAGGAUAACUAUUGGAAACGAUAGCUAAGACUGGAUAGUAUACGAAAAGGCAUCUUUUUGUAUUUAAAGGUCCGUUUGGAACGCUUUGAGAUGGCCCUGCGGCGCAUUAGCUAGUUGGUGAGGUAACGCCACCAAGGCGACGAUGCGUAGCUGUGCUGAGAGGCAAAACAGCCACACUGGGACUGAGACACGGCCCAGACUCCUACGGGAGGCAGCAGUAGGGAAUUUUCGGCAAUGGGGGAAACCCUGACCGAGCAAUGCCGCGUGAAUGAUGAAAUUCUUCGGAAUGUAAAGUUCUGUUGUGAAGGAAGAAUGGUAGCUUGAGGAAAUGCUUGCUAUUUGACGGUACUUCACUAGAAAGCCCCGGNUAACUAUGUGCCAGCAGCCGC